Molecule: ribosomal RNA, 2902 nt
Filed under: Klebsiella pneumoniae
Lineage: Bacteria; Pseudomonadati; Pseudomonadota; Gammaproteobacteria; Enterobacterales; Enterobacteriaceae
Also listed under: 1 other name
Description: 23S ribosomal RNA
Rfam family: Bacterial large subunit ribosomal RNA
Source: RNAcentral
GGUUAAGCGACUAAGCGUACACGGUGGAUGCCCUGGCAGUCAGAGGCGAUGAAGGACGUGCUAAUCUGCGAAAAGCGUCGGUAAGGUGAUAUGAACCGUUAUAACCGGCGAUGUCCGAAUGGGGAAACCCAGUGCAAUUCGUUGCACUAUCGUUAACUGAAUACAUAGGUUAACGAGGCGAACCGGGGGAACUGAAACAUCUAAGUACCCCGAGGAAAAGAAAUCAACCGAGAUUCCCCCAGUAGCGGCGAGCGAACGGGGAGCAGCCCAGAGUCUGAAUCAGCUUGUGUGUUAGUGGAACGGUCUGGAAAGUCCGACGGUACAGGGUGAUAGUCCCGUACACCAAAAUGCACAGGUUGUGAACUCGAAGAGUAGGGCGGGACACGUGGUAUCCUGUCUGAAUAUGGGGGGACCAUCCUCCAAGGCUAAAUACUCCUGACUGACCGAUAGUGAACCAGUACCGUGAGGGAAAGGCGAAAAGAACCCCGGCGAGGGGAGUGAAAAAGAACCUGAAACCGUGUACGUACAAGCAGUGGGAGCACCUUCGGGUGUGACUGCGUACCUUUUGUAUAAUGGGUCAGCGACUUAUAUUCUGUAGCAAGGUUAACCGUAUAGGGGAGCCGCAGGGAAACCGAGUCUUAACUGGGCGUUAAGUUGCAGGGUAUAGACCCGAAACCCGGUGAUCUAGCCAUGGGCAGGUUGAAGGUUGGGUAACACUAACUGGAGGACCGAACCGACUAAUGUUGAAAAAUUAGCGGAUGACUUGUGGCUGGGGGUGAAAGGCCAAUCAAACCGGGAGAUAGCUGGUUCUCCCCGAAAGCUAUUUAGGUAGCGCCUCGUGAACUCAUCUUCGGGGGUAGAGCACUGUUUCGGCUAGGGGGUCAUCCCGACUUACCAACCCGAUGCAAACUACGAAUACCGAAGAAUGUUAUCACGGGAGACACACGGCGGGUGCUAACGUCCGUCGUGAAGAGGGAAACAACCCAGACCGCCAGCUAAGGUCCCAAAGUCAUGGUUAAGUGGGAAACGAUGUGGGAAGGCACAGACAGCCAGGAUGUUGGCUUAGAAGCAGCCAUCAUUUAAAGAAAGCGUAAUAGCUCACUGGUCGAGUCGGCCUGCGCGGAAGAUGUAACGGGGCUAAACCAUGCACCGAAGCUGCGGCAGCGACACUAUGUGUUGUUGGGUAGGGGAGCGUUCUGUAAGCCUGCGAAGGUGACCUGUGAGGGUUGCUGGAGGUAUCAGAAGUGCGAAUGCUGACAUAAGUAACGAUAAAGCGGGUGAAAAGCCCGCUCGCCGGAAGACCAAGGGUUCCUGUCCAACGUUAAUCGGGGCAGGGUGAGUCGACCCCUAAGGCGAGGCCGAAAGGCGUAGUCGAUGGGAAACAGGUUAAUAUUCCUGUACUUGGUGUUACUGCGAAGGGGGGACGGAGAAGGCUAUGUUAGCCGGGCGACGGUUGUCCCGGUUUAAGCAUGUAGGCUGGUUGUCCAGGCAAAUCCGGAUAAUCAAGGCUGAGGUGUGAUGACGAGGCACUACGGUGCUGAAGUAACAAAUGCCCUGCUUCCAGGAAAAGCCUCUAAGCAUCAGGUAACAUCAAAUCGUACCCCAAACCGACACAGGUGGUCAGGUAGAGAAUACCAAGGCGCUUGAGAGAACUCGGGUGAAGGAACUAGGCAAAAUGGUGCCGUAACUUCGGGAGAAGGCACGCUGGUGUGUAGGUGAAGUCCCUGCGGAUGGAGCUGAGACCAGUCGAAGAUACCAGCUGGCUGCAACUGUUUAUUAAAAACACAGCACUGUGCAAACACGAAAGUGGACGUAUACGGUGUGACGCCUGCCCGGUGCCGGAAGGUUAAUUGAUGGGGUUAUCCGUAAGGAGAAGCUCUUGAUCGAAGCCCCGGUAAACGGCGGCCGUAACUAUAACGGUCCUAAGGUAGCGAAAUUCCUUGUCGGGUAAGUUCCGACCUGCACGAAUGGCGUAAUGAUGGCCAGGCUGUCUCCACCCGAGACUCAGUGAAAUUGAACUCGCUGUGAAGAUGCAGUGUACCCGCGGCAAGACGGAAAGACCCCGUGAACCUUUACUAUAGCUUGACACUGAACAUUGAGCCUUGAUGUGUAGGAUAGGUGGGAGGCUUUGAAGCGUGGACGCCAGUCUGCGUGGAGCCAACCUUGAAAUACCACCCUUUAAUGUUUGAUGUUCUAACGUUGGCCCCUUACCGGGGUUGCGGACAGUGUCUGGUGGGUAGUUUGACUGGGGCGGUCUCCUCCCAAAGCGUAACGGAGGAGCACGAAGGUUAGCUAAUCCUGGUCGGACAUCAGGAGGUUAGUGCAAUGGCAUAAGCUAGCUUGACUGCGAGCGUGACGGCGCGAGCAGGUGCGAAAGCAGGUCAUAGUGAUCCGGUGGUUCUGAAUGGAAGGGCCAUCGCUCAACGGAUAAAAGGUACUCCGGGGAUAACAGGCUGAUACCGCCCAAGAGUUCAUAUCGACGGCGGUGUUUGGCACCUCGAUGUCGGCUCAUCACAUCCUGGGGCUGAAGUAGGUCCCAAGGGUAUGGCUGUUCGCCAUUUAAAGUGGUACGCGAGCUGGGUUUAGAACGUCGUGAGACAGUUCGGUCCCUAUCUGCCGUGGGCGCUGGAGAAUUGAGGGGGGCUGCUCCUAGUACGAGAGGACCGGAGUGGACGCAUCACUGGUGUUCGGGUUGUCAUGCCAAUGGCACUGCCCGGUAGCUAAAUGCGGAAGAGAUAAGUGCUGAAAGCAUCUAAGCACGAAACUUGCCCCGAGAUGAGUUCUCCCUGAGACUUUAAGUCUCCUGAAGGAACGUUGAAGACGACGACGUUGAUAGGCCGGGUGUGUAAGCGCAGCGAUGCGUUGAGCUAACCGGUACUAAUGAACCGUGAGGCUUAACCUU